AGGCCCUACGGGGUGCAGCAGGCGCGAAAACUUUACAAUGCUGGCAACAGCGAUAAGGGAACCUCGAGUGCCAGGUUACAAAUCUGGCUGUCGAGAUGCCUAAAAAGCAUUUCAUAGCAAGGGCCGGGCAAGACCGGUGCCAGCCGCCGCGGUAACACCGGCGGCUCGAGUGGUAACCGUUAUUAUUGGGUCUAAAGGGUCUGUAGCCGGCCGGAUAAGUCUCUUGAGAAAUCUGGCAGCUUAACUGUCAGGCUUUCAGGAGAUACUGUCUGGCUCGAGGCCGGGAGAGGUGAGAGGUACUUCAGGGGUAGGGGUGAAAUCUUGUAAUCCUUGAAGGACCACCAGUGGCGAAGGCGUCUCACCAGAACGGACCUGACGGCAAGGGACGAAAGCUAGGGGCACGAACCGGAUUAGAUACCCGGGUAGUCCUAGCCGUAAACGAUACUCGCUAGGUGUCGGCCACGGUGCGACCGUUGUCGGUGCCGUAGGGAAGCCGUGAAGCGAGCCACCUGGGAAGUACGGCCGCAAGGCUGAAACUUAAAGGAAUUGGCGGGGGAGCACCACAACGGGUGGAGCUUACGGUUUAAUUGGAUUCAACGCCGGAAAUCUUACCGGGACCGACAGCAAUAGAAGGCCAGGCGAAGAUGGUG
This 650-nucleotide ribosomal RNA is filed under the name uncultured archaeon. Its description in RNAcentral is "bacterial SSU rRNA". It matches the Rfam family "Archaeal small subunit ribosomal RNA", at positions 318 to 970 of the family's 1478-position model. The record is from RNAcentral.